This 492-nucleotide ribosomal RNA is filed under the name uncultured bacterium. Its description in RNAcentral is "partial 16S ribosomal RNA". It matches the Rfam family "Bacterial small subunit ribosomal RNA", at positions 29 to 507 of the family's 1533-position model. The record is from RNAcentral.
AGUGAACGCUGGCGGUAGGCCUAACACAUGCAAGUCGAACGGCAGCACAGUAAGAGCUUGCUCUUAUGGGGGGCGAGUGGCGGACGGGUGAGGAAUACAUCGGAAUCUACUUUUUCGGGGGGGAUAACGUAGGGAAACUUACGCUAAUACCGCAGACGACCUACGGGUGAAAGCAGGGGAUCUUCGGACCUUGCGGGAUUGAAUGAGCCGCUGUCGGAUUAGCUAGUUGGGGGGGUAAAGGCCCACCAUGGCGCCGAUCCGUAGCUGGUCUGAGAGGAUGGUCCGCCACACUGGAAGUGAGACACGGUCCAGACUCCUACGAGAGGCAGCAGUGGGGAAUAUUGGACAAUGGGCGCAAGCCUGAUCCAACCAUACCGCGUGGGUGAAGAAGGCCUUCGGGUUGUAAAGCCCUUUUGUUGGGAAAGAAAAGCAGCAGGUUAAUACCCCGCUGUUCUGACGGUACCCAAAGAAUAAGCACCGGCUAACUUCGUG